AUAUAUCGGAACGUACCCAAGAGUGGGGGAUAACGUAGCGAAAGUUACGCUAAUACCGCAUACGAUCUAAGGAUGAAAGCAGGGGAUCUUCGGACCUUGUGCUCCUGGAGCGGCCGAUAUCUGAUUAGCUAGUUGGUGAGGUAAAGGCUCACCAAGGCUACGAUCAGUAGCUGGUCUGAGAGGACGACCAGCCACACUGGAACUGAGACACGGUCCAGACUCCUACGGGAGGCAGCAGUGGGGAAUUUUGGACAAUGGGCGAAAGCCUGAUCCAGCAAUGCCGCGUGAGUGAAGAAGGCCUUCGGGUUGUAAAGCUCUUUUGUCAGGGAAGAAACGGUGAGGGCUAAUAUCCUUCGCUAAUGACGGUACCUGAAGAAUAAGCACCGGCUAACUACGUGCCAGCAGCCGCGGUAAUACGUAGGGUGCAAGCGUUAAUCGGAAUUACUGGGCGUAAAGCGUGCGCAGGCGGUUUUGUAAGUCUGACGUGAAAUCCCCGGGCUCAACCUGGGAAUUGCGUUGGAGACUGCAAGGCUAGAAUCUGGCAGAGGGGGGUAGAAUUCCACGUGUAGCAGUGAAAUGCGUAGAGAUGUGGAGGAACACCGAUGGCGAAGGCAGCCCCCUGGGUCAAGAUUGACGCUCAUGCACGAAAGCGUGGGGAGCAAACAGGAUUAGAUACCCUGGUAGUCCACGCCCUAAACGAUGUCUACUAGUUGUCGGGUUUUAAUUAACUUGGUAACGCAGCUAACGCGUGAAGUAGACCGCCUGGGGAGUACGGUCGCAAGAUUAAAACUCAAAGG
Molecule: ribosomal RNA, 797 nt
Filed under: Massilia oculi
Lineage: Bacteria; Pseudomonadati; Pseudomonadota; Betaproteobacteria; Burkholderiales; Oxalobacteraceae
Also listed under: 1 other name
Description: bacterial SSU rRNA
Rfam family: Bacterial small subunit ribosomal RNA
Source: RNAcentral